Molecule: ribosomal RNA, 93 nt
Organism: Sinocyclocheilus grahami
Lineage: Eukaryota; Metazoa; Chordata; Actinopteri; Cypriniformes; Cyprinidae
Source: Ensembl
UCAAGCUUCUGAAGCCCACUGAAGCUAAGCAGGGUUGAGCCUGGUCAGUAACUGGAUGGGAGACCACCUGGGAAAACUAGGUUGCUGCUGGAA